UUCAGCUGCAGGCUAGCUGCAGGCCUAUCAAAGCAUAAAUCCAGAAGAGGUGGAAGUGAAGUAAUAUCCUGUACCUGGCAUCACAAAGUUCGUAAAGCUGAAUGCUACUAGAUUCAGGAAAGUUAUGAAGGGGUGCCUGAAGAUAAAGCUGAGUGCCACUAUCCUAGGCAUGGAAUACAUUUGACCGACUUCUGAGAAUUUCUGUGCAAAGAGGACUGUACACCUUUAUGCAAAGUCAGUGGGGCUUCCUUUUGCCACUGUAAGAAUCAAGACUGUUUCGAUGGAGACCAGAUCAUUUCAUCAUUUCAG
This 309-nucleotide long non-coding RNA is filed under the name Crocodylus porosus (Australian saltwater crocodile). Its description in RNAcentral is "lncRNA (ENSCPRG00005017271.1)". Lineage: Eukaryota; Metazoa; Chordata; Crocodylia; Crocodylidae. The record is from RNAcentral.